This is a non-coding RNA of Chiloscyllium plagiosum (whitespotted bambooshark), 985 nucleotides long. Lineage: Eukaryota; Metazoa; Chordata; Chondrichthyes; Orectolobiformes; Hemiscylliidae. The record is from RefSeq and is a predicted model, not a curated record.
CACAGAUCUGAAAUGCUACCUUCAUUUCUCUCCCAGCAGUUGGCAUCACUUUAAGAUAGAAGUACAAAGAUGAGAUGUGGAAGAGCACAGAUCUGAAAUGCUACCUUCAUUUCUCUCCCAGCAGUUGGCAUCACUUUAAGAUAGAAGUACAAAGAUGAGAUGUGGAAGAGCACAGAUCUGAAAUGCUACCUUCAUUUCUCUCCCAGCAGUUGGCAUCACUUUAAGAUAGAAGUACAAAGAUGAGAUGUGGAAGAGCACAGAUCUGAAAUGCUACCUUCAUUUCUCUCCCAGCAGUUGGCAUCACUUUAAGAUAGAAGUACAAAGAUGAGAUGUGGAAGAGCACAGAUCUGAAAUGCUACCUUCAUUUCUCUCCCAGCAGUUGGCAUCACUUUAAGAUAGAAGUACAAAGAUGAGAUGUGGAAGAGCACAGAUCUGAAAUGCUACCUUCAUUUCUCUCCCAGCAGUUGGCAUCACUUUAAGAUAGAAGUACAAAGAUGAGAUGUGGAAGAGCACAGAUCUGAAAUGCUACCUUCAUUUCUCUCCCAGCAGUUGGCAUCACUUUAAGAUAGAAGUACAAAGAUGAGAUGGAAGCAGGCAGGAGCUGCAAAUAGUGAAGAAUGCAAAUAAUACAUUGGCCUUCACAGUGAAAGCACAGGAGCAGGGAUAGCUUUCUAUAAGGCCUUUGGUGAGACCACACUUUGAGCACUGUGUAUACCUAUGUUCUCCUUUCCCAAGGAAGGGUGCCCCAGCUAUUGAGAGAGAGUAAAGGAGGUUCACCAGACUAAGUCCUGGGAUGUCAGGACUGAUGUAUGAAGAGAGACUCGAUCCUCAUUUAAUCCUCCUUUCUUUAGUCUUGGAAGUGCUGACUACAUCAGUAAUGAAUGAUCCAACUCCCAUUUUCUGAUCUGAAUCUGACCCAUCUAAGCCUACACUUUGGUUCCCAUCCCCCGCCAUAUUAGUUUAAAACCUCACCAACAAAACUGGC